This is a non-coding RNA of Miniopterus natalensis, 558 nucleotides long. NCBI's taxonomy places the organism in Eukaryota, Metazoa, Chordata, Mammalia, Chiroptera, Miniopteridae. The record is from RefSeq and is a predicted model, not a curated record.
ACUGCCCUCAACUUCUGAAAGGAAGAAACUCAUUCUAAAGGCAAAGAGUCUUCUGUCUUCCACCUAGCUGUUUCUCUCUUUAGCCAGCCUCUUCCAUCUCCACUGUCCACUGAGUGGUCAGAAAGACCAACAUCAUUCAAGCACUCACAAAGCCCAGAGCCUGGGAUCAUCUGGGACUCUUUUCUCCAGCUAAUCUCCACUAGUCUAUGGCGAUCCUAGUCUCUGUCCCUCCUGCAUUCAGUCCACAUGGCUCAAGGGAGGUCACCACUUUCCCAUCUGAAGGAAUGGAUCUAUUGUUUAAGCCAGUGGUUCUCAACCAAGGCCCGACUGAGGCAAAUGGCGAAGAUCUCAGUGUUGACAUGCCCUUGACCUCUUGCUGGGGCUUCAGACUUGCAGAAACCCGCCAGCCUUCUGCCCUCUCCCACUACCCUACUUACUACCCAGGCCUGCCUUCAUCAUUUCCCUGGCAGGUGAACUCUGGCUCUGAAGGAAUCGGGGAAGUUUAAGUUUUAUUUCUUCCCUUUGUUCCCAGCAAUGGCUCUAAGGUGAGUUUUUUUU